Molecule: ribosomal RNA, 478 nt
Filed under: uncultured bacterium
Lineage: Bacteria
Description: partial 16S ribosomal RNA
Rfam family: Bacterial small subunit ribosomal RNA
Source: RNAcentral
GACGAACGCUGGCGGCGUGCUUAACACAUGCAAGUCGAACGGUAAGGCCCUUCGGGGUACACGAGUGGCGAACGGGUGAGUAACACGUGGGUGAUCUGCCCUGCACUUCGGGAUAAGCCUGGGAAACUGGGUCUAAUACCGGAUAGGACCCUGGGAUGCAUGUCCUGGGGUGGAAAGCUUUUGCGGUGUGGGAUGGGCCCGCGGCCUAUCAGCUUGUUGGUGGGGUGAUGGCCUACCAAGGCGACGACGGGUAGCCGGCCUGAGAGGGUGACCGUCCACACUGGGACGAGUAUACGCCCCAGACCCCGACGGGAGGCAGGAGGGGGGAAUAUUGCACAAUGGGCACAAGCCUGAUGCAGCGACGCCGCGUGGGGGAUGACGGCCUUCGGGUUGUAAACCUCUUUCAGCACCGACGAAGCGCAAGUGACGGUAGGUGCAGAAGAAGGACCGGCCAACUACGUGCCAGCAGCCGCGGUAA